CAAAUGCGAUCAAAGUGUUGCACAGUAACUAAAUAUCUGCAUGUUGCAGACACUGUAAUAAUCAGAGGAAAAAGACAUUUAGUGACUUGAAUGUGGACAAAUGUGCUCCAAUCAAACACAGAGAUGAGCUCAGAGAAAAGUCCUCAGGCUGUGUGAGUCCAUGUAUAAACACAUUAAGUGUCCAACAGGAUAAACAGUGGGACCUGUAAACUAUGUCAGUGUUUGUUGUUCUUCUUCAAACCUUUACAGAUUAGUUUUCAGCUAACUGAAGCUGGCAGACAAACUGUUAACGGAUAUGACUCGUGUCUAACAGUCCCGCGCCUCUCCAACUGUUUCCUUCCUGUGUAAACUUUACUUUCACUUUGAAGGAUGGUGGUGACGCAGCUUGUUUCCUCCACCUGCACCUCCAGCUGAAGAGAGUCUGUGGAGGAGGCGGAGACGAGCCGCUGCUCUGCCGCUGUCUGAGCCUCUUAAGGCGGCUGAGAGCAGCAGGUAGUGUCGGUGAAUGUUCCGUCAGUAGAUUUAUACUACAGGACUGAUGUGGAGACAGCAGGAAGGAGCUUAGCAGGGACUCAACCGGUUGUUUGUCAGCACACACCGAAAAUGUUGAACUGCGUCACAAGCUGGCGCUGCUCCAACAGCUGCUAGAAACGUCAUCACGCUGCAUUCAAGGCCCUCAUGCUGCGUUCACAGGACAAAGUGUGAUAUUCCUUCCUUCGCAUGCAUAGUAAUGGGACUGGUAGCCUGCAUGUGGACAGUUACUUAUUUUUUCCUUUUAUUAUCUGGUUAUUUUGUGAAUGGACAUAUACCUAUUUAUUUACUUUG
Epinephelus lanceolatus (giant grouper) is the source of this 825-nucleotide non-coding RNA. The record is from RefSeq and is a predicted model, not a curated record. Lineage: Eukaryota; Metazoa; Chordata; Actinopteri; Perciformes; Serranidae.